RNAcentral lists this ribosomal RNA (464 nucleotides) under uncultured bacterium. Its description in RNAcentral is "bacterial SSU rRNA". It matches the Rfam family "Bacterial small subunit ribosomal RNA", at positions 329 to 792 of the family's 1533-position model. The record is from RNAcentral.
GUCCAGACUCCUACGGGAGGCAGCAGUGAGGAAUAUUGGUCAAUGGUCGAGAGGCUGAACCAGCCAAGUCGCGUGAGGGAAGACGGCCCUACGGGUUGUAAACCUCUUUUGUCGGGGAACAAAGGCGUCCACGGGUGGGCGGAUGAGUGUACCCGAAGAAAAAGCAUCGGCUAACUCCGUGCCAGCAGCCGCGGUAAUACGGAGGAUGCGAGCGUUAUCCGGAUUUAUUGGGUUUAAAGGGUGCGUAGGCGGACAGUCAAGUCAGCGGUAAAAAUGCGGUGCUCAACGCCGUACAGCCGUUGAAACUGGCAGUCUUGAGUGGGCGAGAAGUAUGCGGAAUGCGUGGUGUAGCGGUGAAAUGCAUAGAUAUCACGCAGAACUCCGAUUGCGAAGGCAGCAUACCGGCGCCCUACUGACGCUGAGGCACGAAAGCGUGGGUAUCGAACAGGAUUAGAUACCUGUAU